GGGGCUAAACCAUGCACCGAAGCUGCGGCAGCGACGUUUAUGCGUUGUUGGGUAGGGGAGCGUUCUGUAAGCCUGCGAAGGUGGCCUGUGAGGGUUGCUGGAGGUAUCAGAAGUGCGAAUGCUGACAUAAGUAACGAUAAAGCGGGUGAAAAGCCCGCUCGCCGGAAGACCAAGGGUUCCUGUCCAACGUUAAUCGGGGCAGGGUGAGUCGACCCCUAAGGCGAGGCCGAAAGGCGUAGUCGAUGGGAAACGGGUUAAUAUUCCCGUACUUGGUGUUACUGCGAAGGGGGGACGGAGAAGGCUAUGUUGGCCGGGCGACGGUUGUCCCGGUUUAAGCGUGUAGGUGUGUGUUCCAGGUAAAUCCGGUUCACUUUAACACUGAGGCGUGAUGACGAGGCACUACGGUGCUGAAGCAACAAAUGCCCUGCUUCCAGGAAAAGCCUCUAAGCAUCAGGUAACACGAAAUCGUACCCCAAACCGACACAGGUGGUCAGGUAGAGAAUACCAAGGCGCUUGAGAGAACUCGGGUGAAGGAACUAGGCAAAAUGGUGCCGUAACUUCGGGAGAAGGCACGCUGACACGUAGGUGAAGUGAUUUACUCAUGGAGCUGAAGUCAGUCGAAGAUACCAGCUGGCUGCAACUGUUUAUUAAAAACACAGCACUGUGCAAACACGAAAGUGGACGUAUACGGUGUGACGCCUGCCCGGUGCCGGAAGGUUAAUUGAUGGGGUCAGCGCAAGCGAAGCUCCUGAUCGAAGCCCCGGUAAACGGCGGCCGUAACUAUAACGGUCCUAAGGUAGCGAAAUUCCUUGUCGGGUAAGUUCCGACCUGCACGAAUGGCGUAAUGAUGGCCAGGCUGUCUCCACCCGAGACUCAGUGAAAUUGAACUCGCUGUGAAGAUGCAGUGUACCCGCGGCAAGACGGAAAGACCCCGUGAACCUUUACUAUAGCUUGACACUGAACAUUGAGCCUUGAUGUGUAGGAUAGGUGGGAGGCUUUGAAGUGUGGACGCCAGUCUGCAUGGAGCCGACCUUGAAAUACCACCCUUUAAUGUUUGAUGUUCUAACGUGGACCCGUUACCCGGGUUGCGGACAGUGUCUGGUGGGUAGUUUGACUGGGGCGGUCUCCUCCUAAAGAGUAACGGAGGAGCACGAAGGUUGGCUAAUCCUGGUCGGACAUCAGGAGGUUAGUGCAAUGGCAUAAGCCAGCUUGACUGCGAGCGUGACGGCGCGAGCAGGUGCGAAAGCAGGUCAUAGUGAUCCGGUGGUUCUGAAUGGAAGGGCCAUCGCUCAACGGAUAAAAGGUACUCCGGGGAUAACAGGCUGAUACCGCCCAAGAGUUCAUAUCGACGGCGGUGUUUGGCACCUCGAUGUCGGCUCAUCACAUCCUGGGGCUGAAGUAGGUCCCAAGGGUAUGGCUGUUCGCCAUUUAAAGUGGUACGCGAGCUGGGUUUAGAACGUCGUGAGACAGUUCGGUCCCUAUCUGCCGUGGGCGCUGGAGAACUGAGGGGGGCUGCUCCUAGUACGAGAGGACCGGAGUGGACGCAUCACUGGUGUUCGGGUUGUCAUGCCAAUGGCACUGCCCGGUAGCUAAAUGCGGAAGAGAUAAGUGCUGAAAGCAUCUAAGCACGAAACUUGCCCCGAGAUGAGUUCUCCCUGAGACUUAGAGUCUCCUGAAGGAACGUUGAAGACGACGACGUUGAUAGGCCGGGUGUGUAAGCGCAGCGAUGCGUUGAGCUAACCGGUACUAAUGCU
RNAcentral lists this ribosomal RNA (1754 nucleotides) under Salmonella enterica subsp. enterica serovar Bovismorbificans. RNAcentral's name for it is "partial 23S ribosomal RNA". It matches the Rfam family "Bacterial large subunit ribosomal RNA", at positions 1177 to 2908 of the family's 2925-position model. The record is from RNAcentral. Lineage: Bacteria; Pseudomonadati; Pseudomonadota; Gammaproteobacteria; Enterobacterales; Enterobacteriaceae.